RNAcentral lists this non-coding RNA (30 nucleotides) under Mus musculus (house mouse). The record is from RNAcentral. Lineage: Eukaryota; Metazoa; Chordata; Mammalia; Rodentia; Muridae.
UGGAUUUGGCAUUAGGACCUGACACAGGCC